AAUAAAUAUAGUUUUAUACUAUUUAUAUCCAACGUUUCACCGUUCAUCUUAUUUAAAAUUUUUUUAUGAUUAUUAUUUUUAUUGUUAUUAGAUGAUAAAAGAUGAAUAUUAGUUGAUGUGUGACUAUUGUUAUUUAGUUUUUUUUAUAAAUUUUUUAAAUAAGAUGGACAGGCAAACACCGAGCACAGAUACCCACGACUGUA
RNAcentral lists this microRNA precursor (203 nucleotides) under Oryza barthii. Its description in RNAcentral is "MIR812 microRNA precursor family". It matches the Rfam family "MIR812 microRNA precursor family". Lineage: Eukaryota; Viridiplantae; Streptophyta; Magnoliopsida; Poales; Poaceae. The record is from Rfam by way of RNAcentral.